AUUGAACGCUGGCGGCAUGCCUUACACAUGCAAGUCGAACGGUAACAGGUCUUCGGAUGCUGACGAGUGGCGAACGGGUGAGUAAUACAUCGGAACGUGCCUAGUAGCGGGGGAUAACUACUCGAAAGAGUGGCUAAUACCGCAUGAGGUCUACGGAUGAAAGCAGGGGAUCGCAAGACCUUGUGCUACUAGAGCGGCCGAUGGCAGAUUAGGUAGUUGGUGGGAGAAAAGCUUACCAAGCCGACGAUCUGUAGCUGGUCUGAGAGGGCGAUCAGCCACACUGGGACUGAGACACGGCCCAGACUCCUACGGGAGGCAGCAGUGGGGAAUUUUGGACAAUGGGCGAAAGCCUGAUCCAGCAAUGCCGCGUGCAGGAUGAAGGCCUUCGGGUUGUAAACUGCUUUUGUACGGAACGAAAAGCCCCGGGUUAAUACCCUGGGGUCAUGACGGUACCGUAAGAAUAAGCACCGGCUAACUACGUGCCAGCCGCCGCAGUAA
This 498-nucleotide ribosomal RNA is filed under the name uncultured bacterium. Its description in RNAcentral is "partial 16S ribosomal RNA". It matches the Rfam family "Bacterial small subunit ribosomal RNA", at positions 30 to 523 of the family's 1533-position model. The record is from RNAcentral.